This is a long non-coding RNA of Gasterosteus aculeatus aculeatus (three-spined stickleback), 20737 nucleotides long. The record is from Ensembl. Lineage: Eukaryota; Metazoa; Chordata; Actinopteri; Perciformes; Gasterosteidae.
CGUCAGCCUUCUGUCCCCGAACCACGAGUCCUGCCUGAGCGCCUCGGGUUUCUGUUGCCUGCCCCUUGGACUGCCCGGCGCUUCUGCCCUUGUGCUCCGGAUCCCCGACCGGCCCAGCGAUCGCACCAGCUGUCUCCCGGCAUCUCCUCCCCGAUCCUGAGGACCGCACUCUGCUCUGCCUCUCAUUGUGCCCGAACGCCUGCUGUGAGGCCGUGUUCAAUAAAAGCGUUAACCAAACACUCCGUGCCGUUGUGCUGCAUUUGGCUCCGCCACACGCCCUUGUCAGUAAGAAAGGUUGGGGACCACUGGGCUGAUCCGUGUGUUUACACACCUCCUGGAUCCUGAUUGGAGUCGCUGCUGCAGCCGCAAGGCACUGAUUGGAUGCUCACAGACCGUAAUACAGCGCAGAUGAACAUGAUUCAGACUACGGCGUUUAUAUGUUCAACAAUAGUAAACGUAGUCUUAGCUGUUUUAAAAUUACACCAAGUUUAUUUCGGAUUAUUCCAACGGAAGAAUACAAGGCGCAGGGAACUUUGAGGUGCGUAAACGCUAUUUAUAGGUGCGUAAACGCUAUUUCCCAAAUUCCAGAGGUGCGUAAACGGCGUUUACCCUCCACUACAGCCCUGCCCUGAGCUUAUUUCAAUUCUGCCCAGAGUUGAGGUCAGCUAAGAGACUUCUUCAACAUUGAACUUGGACAAACAUGUGGAUUGUAGGGAUGACACAGGAGAAGGGACUUUGCUUUGCAACUCCUGCAACAAAGUUUCAAGUACACUUGCUAUCCAUGUAGCCUCGCAUGCAGAUAAAACAAGCAGUCUCCUUUCAAACCCGUGGCCUCAAUUCCCUCUGCUGCUUUCCAUUUGGUUGUUUCUCAGAGGGAGAGUGUGCACGUGUGUGGGUGUUGUUAAGUGGCUCUGCUCAACCGGAUCUAAAAUGCAAUACAAAAAAACGUUCUCAGCCGCUAUCCUUUCUAUUGUCUCCCUCCCUGUUUUCAUCUGGCUAGUUCUCCUCCAGACGUUUUGUCCAAUUGCAUCCGCUUAAACAGUUUACUUUGAUCAGUGUGUGUGUGUGUGUGUGUGUGUGUGUGUAGAACUUGAGUUUACACUUAAGUACAUAUCUCAUCUUAUCUUACAAAUAUAUUACUAAAAGAAAGUAACUUAAUGAGUGAACAUCUCCCCAUAGUAAAUUAUGAUAUCGGUGUUUCGAAGCAUUGCAGUUAACAUCGUUGACAGUUUUAUUUUGUCUCCAGUUUGAGGGAAUAAGUCAAAUAAAUUCUCUCCAGGGCCGACAUAAUUUAGUAACAUAGUUUCUAAAAAAAUACUUUCAGUAAUAUUACUAAGAUUCUUUUUUAUAGUGACUUGCAGGAGAUCACCAAGGGAAUUGACACUUCCUAUAUAGCCUAAAAAUAGUUUGAAGCAAUAUAUAAUUUAAAUAUAUUUUUUCUGUACAGAAGAAUGUCAAAAUGGUAAUGUAUGCAGAUGACACAACGCUGUACAGCAAUGCUUAUAUAGGGCCAGAAAUUUUUUUGAUUCAAGAUCUGGGAAGAGUGUCUGAUUGGGAACAAACUAGCCCUGAACAUUUCUAAGUCUAAAAGUUCUGUUUAUCUUCACUUGUCUAUGUCAGGUUUGCCAAUGGAACAGGUAAAGAGCACCAAAUUACCGGGUGGAGUGUUAAUUGUAGUAGGGGUUAGGUGUCUUGUAAGGGACACUUUGACACGUGGCAGCUGGGACUCGAACCACCAACCUUGUGGUUCCAGCACACCCGCUGUACCCGUGUCACGUUGCCCGACAUUUUAUAAUUUGUAUUGUUUCUGAGGUGUUGCAGUCUUUGGUCUUUUGUCACCUGCUGUUCUGUCCUUUCAUAUGGUCACAGCUGUUAAGAAGGACAUAGACAAACUUAUCAUGGUCGUCGAGAUCCGAACCUGGGUCUCGGUGUAGCAGGCCGAUUUCCUACCACUGUGCUGCAAGUGGUGGUGACUCAGGUGCAGAGACAGACACGGACAAGUCGUAUGUUGAGUCAAAAAAAAAAAAAGGUUUCUUUACUUGCAAAAAGUAGGAGGUUCCAUAUCGUUGACAAAACUCAAAAUAUUCCAAGACAACUAAAAACAAAGUCAGAGCAUUUAACAGGAAACUAAGGGUGUCCCAAAGAACAGGCAACAGAAGAUCUUAAAAAACAAAAGGUAUUAACAGAGAAAAGUUAUCAAGUGUCUCACGCAGCUCAGCUCCAGGUGGUAAGUUCCAAGACUCGGCAAACACAAAGAAACAGUUGGCUUUUUAAAGGCUAGAGAACGAGGCACAGGUGAACGCAAUGAGAACAAUCAAGACCACACAGACUCAUGACAGGUGCCAUACAUAAAACUGGAUCACUGAGGACCCCACAUGGUCCUUCAGGGUAAUUCAGUCCAAAAAAAACCUGACAGGAUCCCCCUCCUUAUGAACGUCUCCUGACGUUCCCUCGAGGGCGAUCUGGAUGAUCUUGGUGGAAGGUCCUGAUGAGGGUUGGAUCGAGUACAUGCCGGGAAGGGACCCAGGACCGUUCCUCUGGACCAUAGCCCUUCCAGUCCACCAGAUAUUGCAAGCCCCUCCCCACCCGGCGACAGUCCAUUAGACGUUGGACCGUAUAAGCUGGACCCUCCUCGAUGAUCCUGGGGGGAGGAGGGGUCUUGGCUGGAGGGGCCAGUGGGCUCGUGGCAACUGGGCGUAGCCGGGAGACAUGGAAGGUGGGGUUGAUCCGCAUGGAUCGGGGGAGUUGGAGGCGAUAGGCUACUGGAUUGACCCUCCUCACGACCUUGAAGGGCCCCACAAACCGCUGAGCGAGCUUGCGGGACUCCACCCGCAGAGGAAGGUCUCGUGUUGAUAGAUAAACGCUCUGUCCCGGACGUAGAGUGGGGGCAGGUCUGCGGCAGCGGUUGGCAUGGUGUUGAUACUGACGGACAGACUUUUGCAGGGUAGACCGGGCCUUGCGCCAUACAAUCCUGCACCGUCUGACAAAGCUCUGGGCUGAAGGAACACCAACCUCUGCCUCUUGGUCGGGGAACAGUGGAGGUUGAAACCCAAACUGGCACUCGAAGGGACUGAGUCCUGUAGCAGAAGAGCACAAGGUGUUAUGGGCAUAUUCCGCCCAGAUCACAUACCUGCUCCAAGACGAAGGAUUAGGUGAGGCCAGGCAUCUGAGGGUGGUCUCCAGGUCCUGAUUGAGUCUCUCUGUCUGUCCAUUGGACUCUGGAUGGUGCCCAGAGUAGAGGCUGACCGUAGCCCCAAUAAGCUUGCAGAAGGCUCUCCAAAACAGAGCCGUGAAUUGGGGCCCACGAUCCGAGACCACAUCAAGGGGAAGACCGAAGACGCCUGAAGACAUGCUCACACACAGCCUCAGCAGUCUCAAGAGCCGAGGGGAGUUUGGGCAGGGGGACAAACCGACACGCCUUGGAAAAGCAGUCGACAAUAACCAAAAUAACUGUUUCCCUGGGAGAGGGGAAGACCUGUAAUAAAGUCCAUGGAUAUGUGGGACCAGGGUCGCUUGGGAAUGGGGAGAGGGUGUAGGAGACCGUAGGGGGGGGAAUGGGAACUCUUAUUUAUGACACAGACUGAGCAGGCCGCAACAAAAGCCCUUACAUCCAUGUUCAUCCCUGGCCACCAGAACCGCCUCUUGAUGGACUCCAGAGUCCUGCCCAUUCCUGGAUGGCCGGUCAGACGCGAAGAGUGCCCCCACUGCAGAACCUUGGUUCGCACAACAGUAGGAACAUAUACUGUUGGAGGGUCCAUCCCCGGGAUCUGGCUCUCUUCUAGGCUUGGCGCACCAAUGUCUCAACUCCCCAUCGGACCGGAGCUACAAUCCUCGAGCAUGGGAGAAUGGACGCUGGAACUCUAUCAACCUCUGGCCUGUGAAACACUCUAGAGAGUGCAUCAGCCUUUUGGUUCUUUGAACCAGGGCGGAAGGACAAAAUCAAAUCAAAUCUAUUAAAAAAAAGAGCCCACCUUGCCUGCCUGGGGUUGAGACGUUUGGCCCUCUGAAUGUACUUCAGAUUUUUGUGGCCCGUCCAAACCACAAAAGGGUGCUGGGCCCCUUCCAGCCAGUGGCGCCAUUCCUCCACGGCCAUCUUAAUAGCCAGAAGCUCACGAUCCCCCACAUCAUAAUUCCUUUCAGCAGCUGAGAGGCGAGCGGAGAAGAAGCAACAAGGAUGUAGCUUCCCAUCUGCCGGCCGCUGGGAAAGCACUGCCCCUACUGCCGCCUCCGAGGCAUCUACCUCGACCACAAAGGGGAGAGAGGGAUCAGGUAAGGUCAAGAUAGGGGCGGAGGAGAAUCUCACCUUCAGUUCACAGAAGGCCCGCUCUGCCUCUGGAGACCACUUAAAGGGCCCAGGCUUCCUCUUUGUGAGAUCGGUCAUAGGUCCGGCAACAGCACUGAAGUUUCUGAUAAACUUCCUAUAAAAAUUGGCGAAACCAAUGAACCAUUGUACCUCCUUGACAGGAUGGUUGGGGCCAAUCCCGAACAACUUGAGUCUUCUUGGGAUCUGUGAGAAGACUCCCCUUGGAAAGGAUGAAGCCCAAAAAGGAUACCUCAGAGACGUGGAACUCACAUUUCUCCGGCUUUACAAAGAGGUGAUUCUCAAGCAGGCGCUGGAGGACGACUGACAUGAUGGACGUGUUCAUGAAGGGAUUUGGAAAAAAUGAAAAUGUCGUCCAAAUAGACAAAAACAAAAUGGUUUAACAUCUGAGAACCUCGUUAAUGAGUCCUUGGAAAACACCUGGUGCGUUGGACAGCCCAAAUGGCAUAACUAAAUAUUUAUAAUGACCUGUAGGUGUGUUGAAGGCCGUCUUCCACUCAUCUCCCUCCUUGAUCCGGACCAGGUGGUAGGCGUUACGGAGGUCCAAUUUGGUGAAGAUAGUUGCCCCUUGUAGGAGUUCAAAUGCUGAGGACAUUAAGGGCAAGGGGUAACGAUUCUUCACCGUGAUCUUGUUCAAGCCCCGAUAAUCAAUACAAGGUCUGAGACCGCCGUCCUUCUUCCCGACAAAGAAGAAUCCGGCACCGGCAGGGGAAGACGAGGGGCGGAUAAUUCCAGCUGUCAGGGAGUCCUUGAUAUAGUCCUCCAUAGCUUGAGUCUCAGUGGGUGACAGGGAGAAGAUCCUUCCUCGUGGAGGGAUGGACCCUGGGAGGAGAUCAAUAGCACAGUCAAAAGGCCUAUGAGGGGGCAGGGCAGUGGCCCUCUUCUUGCUAAAUACCUCACUCAACUCAUGGUACAUGGAGGGGACUUGGGCCAAAUCUAGAGGACUGGGAGGUUUGGGAACUGAGGACACGGCUCUAGUGAGGAGACAAGAAGAUUUGCACCUUGGACCCCACUCUACCACCGUUCCCAAAGACCAAUUGAUAUGAGGACUGGUGAGACAACCAAGGGAACCCUAGCACAACAGGAAACUCAGGAGUGUGGAUCAGAUUAAACUGAAUCUUUUCAUAAUGUUUCUCGAAAAUGGACAAAACAGCUGUAAUAUGGGUUACGGUACCUCUGCCCAAGGGCCUGCCAUCAAGGGCCGUCACUUAGAGAGGGUGGUCCAGGCCGGUCAUGGGCAGGUGAAGGCGCCUGGCGAGGGUGAGGUCCAGGAAAUUCCCAGCAGCACCUGAGUCCACAAGUGCAUCAACAGCGUGUUGCUGGUGUUCCCAGGAAAUGGUGACAGGAAGCUGCAGGCACAAAGUAGAGUCUGAAGGAGUUAGAGUUGCCCCCGUCACAGUUCUCCUUUUACUGGAGGGGCAGUGCUUUUCCCGCAAGCACAGGACAUGAGGCGCGGAAAUGGUUAGGAGCUCCACAGUAGAAGCAGCUUCUCUCCCUCCUCCUUCGGUCCCGCUCGGCCUGGGAAAGGAGAGUUCCACCAAGCUGCAUCGGCUCCUCCGAAGAAGGUGGGUCACAGUGAGGCCUACAAGGCCACUGUGGCGAACUGAAGGUUGAAGCGGCGGCUCCGGAACUGGAACCGCUGUACGGCUCUCGUUCACGACGCCUCUCUCGCAGACUGUUGUCGAGUCGAAUAGUCUGGUCAAUUAGGGACUCCAGAUCCCCAACAGGAUCCCUAGCUGCCAGUUCAUCUUUGAUAAUGCCAGCGAGCCGCUUCCGGAACGCUGCCAUCAGGGCCUCCUCGUUCCACUUACACUCUGCUGCCAGGGUGCGGAAGAGCACAGCAUACUCAGCAACACUAGCAAUGCCUUGACGCAGCACUACCUCCCAAGGGAUGGUCAUCUCGCCCGUGAAGGUGCUAAAGUCAUCACAGGAAUGGCCCUGCUGAUCCCAAACAGCUGUUGCCCGGGCCUUUCCGGUCAGAAGAGUUAUGACGUAGGCUAUGCGAUCAGUGCGAAACGAGGAGGCUUGAAGUUCAAAGGUGAGAGAGCAUUGGGUAAGGAAGGCCCGGCAGUCCCUGGGGUUGCCGUCAUACCUCUCGGGAGCGGGUAGCCGUGGUUCUGCAAGGGUCCCAGGUGGAAGAGAAUCGCGUGAUGGUGCUGUAACUCCAGAGGGUUACAGGCCGGUGGAGGCCGGUGGUGGCAAACGAGCUAGUACAUCGGUCAAAGUCUGUUGUAAGCCCUGCAGGACUUGAUCUUGGCGAGGGAAGGCAGCCUCAUGGAGGGUUAGGCGAGCAUCAUGGCGAGACACAGUGGCGUCGUGACUGGCCACUGCCGCGUAGAGUUGAUCCGCCGCAGUUGGUGUCCGGGGUUGCCGAGAUGAUGGGGAAGACUUUGUCUCUGCUGAGUCUGGUUCCAUGGCAGAGUCUUGCUAUCAUGGUCGUCGAGAUCCGAACCUGGGUCUCGGUGUAGCAGGCCGAUUGCCUACCACUGUGCUGCAAGUGGUGGUGACUCAGGUGCAGAGACAGACACGGACAAGUCGUAUGUUGAGUCAAAAAAAAAAAAAAAGGUUUCUUUACUUGCAAAAAGUAGGAGGUUCCAUAUCGUUGACAAAACUCAAAAUAUUCCAAGACAACUAAAAACAAAGUCAGAGCAUUUAACAGAAAACUAAGGGUGUCCCAAAGAACAGGCAACAGAAGAUCUUAAAAAACAAAAGGUACUAACAGAAAAGUUAUCAAGUGUCUCACGCAGCUCAGCUCCAGGUGGUAAGUUCCAAGACUCGGCAAACACAAAGAAACACAGUUGGCUUUUUAAAGGCUAGAGAACGAGGCACAGGUGAACGCAAUGAGAACAAUCAAGACCACACAGACUCAUGACAGGUGCCAUACAUAAAACUGGAUCACUGAGGACCCCACAUGGUCCUUCAGGGUAAUUCAGUCCAAAAAACCCUGACAAAACUACUGUACAACUGGUUGAAAACCGUGUUGCCAGAUUAGCACUUCAGUGUUCAAUAAGAACAAAUACAGCAUAUUUUCCUGUCAUGGUUCUCACUAGAAAUCAAUCUCUCUUCUCGUGUUUUUCAGAAAGGUCAUUUUUAAUCAGUUACAAUAUACAGGUAAUAAGCAUACACAAUGAAUGCUAGCCUAGGAUGCAUGAUACUUCCAACCCCUAUAACAAACCUCCUCAACUGUAUAGUUAUUUUCAGCACCUCAGGACAUUAACCACUUGACGUUUGCCAUUGCUUUUGUACACAUUCGAUUCUUCGCAAAUUGCAGGAGUACUGGACUAUAUACAUCCUAGUCCUCAACCGCACAAGGUAUACGACUAGAUUAUUGGUUAUUAUUCUUUUCAUGCUCUUUGUACUAUAUUUAACUACAGUACGUUUUACGUCAUGGUCUAAAUGUUUGGUGUUAACUACUUUUUUGUCUCUCUGUGGAUCCCAGAAAUAUUAGCGGCCAGCUGAUGGGAAUCCAGUAAAUAACAAAUAAAUGUUCUACAAAUCUCCAUAUUCAGUAGUCUUUUCAGGUGAUGGACGUUUCGAAGCUAUUCCUGCUGGAGUUGAGGAAGAGGCACGGUUCUUUCAGGAGAGGCGAUAGCAGGGAUCACACACUUCACACACACAAAACACAUUCUCAUGUACAGUGUGACUUUCUUGUACAUCUAACAGAGCUAUAAAAAUCCCCAUAGCAGACUAUUGACCUGCAUGACAAAAAGAAAACGUCUGAAUCCAAUGUGGAUUUCAUAAAUCCAACAUGUAAUCGAAUGUGUUCUCAAAAUCUGAAUAUGUAUUGACCACGUCAAACUGAGAAUUCAGCGUGUGUGCUCUACAAAGCGAUGUGAACACAAAUGAGCAGAUAUCAGUCAUCUGGUGCAUAAUCUUAAAUCUCUCCUCCGUCUGUUCCCGUGGUGCGGGGUGUCUGCAUACCAACAGGUUUUUUGUUGCUCUCUUCUGCCGCCGCUGAAUGGAGCCGACAGUGGCCAACUAUUAAACAACUGUACGAAGCGUGAGAGUCGCCUACACAAACUUCGCAGAAGAUGGCAGGUUAAAGCCAACACAUAGUUAACGCUAUCAGAAGAGGCAGAGGAAGGUGAAAGCAAAAUCAUGUCUCGCUCUACUGUCUCUGUUCUCUCAUCCGUCACGUUUGUGAUGUCCGCACAUUGUUGAAAACACUUUUGCCAAUCCCAGAAGCAUUAACCUUUGAAGAAAUGCAGCCUGGUUGAUAGGGUGAUAAUCAUUAACGUCAGUUAAUCUACAAGUUUUCAUGAGCCUGGUGGUCGCCUUUCAGCACAUAAAGGGACCAUGUAGCCCCUCAAUAGACAUAUUAAAAUUGACAUCAGAGCCGCUCUACAUUGGUCUCAGCAUGUAGAGUGUGACCUCACACACUGCAGGCCGGGCCAAUUAAACUGGAGAUAGUUUUCCUGGCUCAAAAAGAGAAGGAGCUUCUAGCCGCUGAUGUAGUCUCAGGAGUUCUCAUAGCAUACCAGCCCUAAUCCAAAGCGUUAAGACUUCUACAGAUAUGAUUUUAUUUCAUCCAAUGCGCUAAUUAGCGGAGUUUGUAAUAAAAACAAUGUAAUUAUAAUUACAUUGUUUUUAUUACAAACUCUGCAAUAAAUGUCGAUGUUCGCCAUCACCAGUAACCUGCAGCUUAUUUUCUCGACAAUGCCUUGUUUUGUCAUCCCUAGAGAUGUUAAAAAUGAAUAUUUCAUGUUAAAAAGUUAAAGAAAUCACACUAAAAGCAGAUGGAGCAGCUUGCCACACAAGAAUAGCUGGUCAUCCUUAAGUGGCUUACUGACUUUGGGGUAGUAGCUGGCCAUGCCGGUUGUAUUAAAUCCCACUUACGGUUUGUGGAUUUGAGUAGCUAUCAGAUUAAUAUGGUGACCGAUAAAAAGUGACGUGUGUUUGGAUAGGAGUGGGCAAAAAAAAUUCACUUUCACUGCCUGAGAUCAAAUCCAUUCAUGUACUAGCCCUGUAUCACUUUUGACAGCUUUUCACACCAAUGUGUCAAAUGACCGAGCUUGGUCAGCGACAAUAUACUUGAAAGACUACAAGGCUCUUUGUUCCCCUCUGUAUUGCACGUCUCUGACAGCAUGUCAAUAUUCACUCGUAAAAUGCAUGUACCUUUCAAACUGGGGACUCAGUUGCCUGUCAUGUGCAUUAACUGCAGCUCUCUUUAAGUGAUGAAUUGAACCUCUUUCUCAAUCAGUUAUCACUGCAGCCUCAAUCACCAAAGCACCCAUUUCACUGUGUGGCACUUAUAUUGUUGCUUUGCAGUUAAUGAUCAUUUCACAAAGGUCUGCUACCAUAAUGAUCCAACCCAGGAUAACAGUCAUAAUAAGGAUGCGGAUAGAUCAAGGCACAUGUCUGUCAGUACUAAGUAAAACGGUAUUAAAAAAAAUAAAAAAUAAAAGGAUUUUAACUACAGUUGUGUAGUAUAGUUUACAUUGUACACUCAGUACUGAUUGGUUUAUGCACACAUUGUGUUCUUGUUUCUCUGUAGCUUAACUGAGCUGAUGAAUAAUGUCACAAUAUCAGAUCAUUGAUGGACUCACAUUCUAGCUGAUACUGUCAAGGAUGCGUGGGGGAGGCAGGACUCAGACGCAGACUUCUCGGAAAACAAAAGGCUUUAUUAGUCAAAAGGCAAAAUCAAAAGGCUAAGGGGCAAAACCACACAGGAACCAGGGGAAACCCAGCAGGCAGGAAACUAUGAACAUCCACGACAAUAGACCAGUGACACAAGAGACACACGGCUUAAAUACACAAGGGAGGUGCAGGUGAUUGGACACAGGUGGAAACUAUUAGACGAUCACGGGGAUGACAGGACAAGGCAGGAAGUGAAGUUACCCGGGGACACAAGUGGCAGAAAACUACAACAUGAAGUGAACCACACCGUGACAGAUACAGCAUUUUUAGGGUGAGUCUCAUACCAGCUGUAACAUCUGUGUCUGUGAUUUUUCAAUAUUUUUAAUAUAAUAGAUAAGACAAAUUGUUGGGCACACCUAAAUGAAGGGUUAAGCGCACUAGUGUGGCCAUUGUUAAAUAAAAAUUAGUCUGGGGCUAAAUAAAAGUUAGUCUGGGGCCCUGUUGAGGUGAUCAGUUAGGAGAGAAGGGUUAGGGGACUCAAAAAGGAGGAGGGAUGUGUGGGACAGGUGAACAGGAAGAGAAUGGAUUAGAGUGUUCCUCCAUAGGAUUCCCGUUGAGUCCCUCACCGUGACAUCAGCCUUGUUAAAAGAACCUUUUCUAUUUCUUUACCACGGAGCGGAGUGGGACCUUCGGUCUUCACCACUCCUCUCACUGUUACACACACAGACUCUGUCAUCGACUAAAUCACAUGUGGUUAUGCAUAUCUAAGGCUCCCUUCAUGUAUUCUGUUGUUCUUAGCGCAACAUUGUUUGAAGUAGCUGGAAACCAUUUUAAAUCAUCUCUUGAUAUCAAAGAAUUAAUUUCACCGGGAAAAGCAUGCCCUUAUUAAAGAUGAUUCUCAGACGGCGUUCUCCCUCUACUGCAGUCCAGCAAUCCUCCGCACUGUAAAGAUAUGGGGCUGUUGACAUAUGCGAGGAUAGCUUCAGCGUGCAUUCAAUGACUGUUUUGAAGCACUUAACAGCAAUCAAAUGCACUCACCUGCGUUGAGCGAGUCGUCGUUUUCCAUCAAACUGUAGUCAAUGCUAACCGUCUCGGUGCAUUUCCGGUGCUAUUCAUCAAAAACUCACACUAUUUUUGAACUACUCUGCUUCCGUUCAUAUAUAUGAGAAGCUCCGUGUAUUUAGGGAUGGAUUGGAUGCACAGUCAGCACUUUCAGUUCAGCAGCUAAUGAGGAACAUUUUUCACAAGAUAUGUGGUGAAAGUUUAGUCUAAAACUAAAGAGUAAAAGGUAGGACCGUCAAAAGCCUGUAAAGGUAAGUAGAGAAAAAUAAUGGGAUGGUUCCUAAACGAUAGCGGAAAAUGUCAACGUGAGCUCAAGGAAACUGUGGGGCAUUUUUCACUUGCACACCUAAUCAUUAUUUAUGUGUGUGUGUAUUUUUUUGUUUUGUUUUUCACAUCUGUUGUUGCCGCUCAGCUAUGUGCCCCCUCGGGAGGAUUAUUCUACCACUUCUCUCCUCCUCUGUGCUGCAGGUGAUGGGUUGCAGCAAAACCUCAUACUGCGGUGUGUUCUCAUUUAACGAAGCAUCGAAACAGAAAUACUCAUCUAACACAACGCUGUUGGCGGCAUAUUCCUUGCCUCUUCCAGGCUUGCGUGGGGACAAACUUAACUUUAAAAGGCACAUUUGUUUGGGGUUUAGCGCAGUGUCUAGGUGAUAUGAAGCAAAGUCUAGUCCAAUUUGGGCAAGCUUACUUUGCUUCAGUUAAACAGCAAUGUUUACGGUGUAAAGUAUUCAAAUGAAGGAGUCUUCUAUCUCAGAUAACAUGGAUUCAAGCCAUAUUUUCCACUUUCAAAAAUGAAUUGAGAUUGCAGUUGCAAAGAUGUAAACCUUGCGUUGUAUUGCAAACGUGAGCCCUUCCCUACAGUACGAGUAGAACUUGAGCACACUUAGUUAUUUGCAGAGGUCGUCUGUCUUAGAGAAACAUACUUACAAUUCGAAUUUGUAUCUAUUGACUCUCAGGUCUUAAACAUGUGAUACCAUCGGGCUCAAGGUCUAGAGAUCCUAAAUAAAUAAUAAAUGGGAGCUGAUUUUGAGUCAUGUGGUUUCUCUGCCAUCUGCGACUCCGCCAGUCGUGUGUAGCUGCAUGUGAGGCAACAGGUAACCUAGAUGUGUCGUCUUUAAAGUAUAUUCAUUUUUCUACUUUAUUUGGAAGUGUAAAUCAUAUCCGGGCAGUGUUAAUUUCGUUGACGAAAACUAUGAAAUUUUUUUCGUUAACGACCUUUUUUUCCAUGACUAAGACGAGACGAAAACUAUCUUAAAAAAUAAAAACUAUGACCUAAAUCCAUUCUAACUUGUGAAAUGUUGGUGGUUGACGAAGUCACAAUUGUUUUCCCCCCUAAAUUCGCACGCAGCUGACAGGCAACAGACAGGCAAAGUACGGCGGUUAUUAACGUGUCAUGGUGACGUCAUCCACGAACCCAGAACGCUCGCAUCGGCGCAGCGCUGGUUCUUGUGCACCGACUGCGGACCGCGACGACUAUUUUACGCUUCGGCGAGUUUGAAUGUGCGCUUCAUUAGUUUAGCUCAGCUGUCUCGGUUUAGCUGACUGUUAGCAGGCUGAAGCCGCGCUGCUUCACAGAAACAUGAAGACCCGUUUAACACAGUGGAAACAAUAAAGGACCAUGAAGUUUCAAAAGCAUUGCAAGUAAACGGACAAAGACAACAAAGUGUUGCAUUUAGAUCCCUGGUCCUCAUGAAGUUGUUACACCUUUGCCAAUUUGUUAAAUUGCCUUGCAAAUAAAUGCUUUGCUAUUUGUAAAAAACAAAUCUUUUCAUGUCAUGAUUUUUCACAUGUCAUUUAUAUUCGCUCACACGAACACAUGCAUUUAGAGAUUAUUUAUGGAAUAGUACUAUGUGUUCUGUAUCUGAACACUCCUUCCAGGACUGGUGAGGUUCAGAUGUUUAAAGACAAAGUCAUCCUGCUUUUACAACAGUGUCACUGCAGUAUGCAUUUCAUGAAUCCAGACGUUGCCAUACUAGUCCAUUUGGAUUCACCUUUUUGGUUUUUUUCCAGUGUAAAACCCACAGAAAGCCUUCUUUUAAUGAGUGCUGUGUGUGGUUGACCACAUGCUAUCGAGGAUUAUCCCUGCUCUCUUUUUUAUUACUUCUCUUGUUUUCUUCCCAUUGCUCUUAUGCUUCGGUUUUUGAAGUUACGGCUUUGAAAUGCAGACAAAACUUUUUUCUUCUCACAGUGGCUGAGUGAGUUUUAUUUUAUACAUGCUGGUAUAAAUGAUGGGAUUUUUUGUCGUUUGUUUUUUCUAUUUCUGUCCCUCCCCUCACCUCUUAUCAUGGGGAAGUCUUGCUUGAAAGGAGCUUAUUCAAAUUUGUAUAACAGCAGGGCUCACUGAAUUGUUUUUCUUAUUGAGUUUGCGGUCUGAUUUUCUCGCUCUUUUUCUCGCCCUCACACUCCUUCAUUCAAGCCAAGAGAAUGAUCAGUUAUGUUUAGCUGGUCUUUGCCCAGCAGCUUUAUCGCUAACAUCCAAAUAAUGCAUUAUCAAAUGUAAAAAAUAUCAAAAAAGAAAAAUAUUAAAAUAGUGUAUGAAAUUGAAUGAAACGAAAUGAAAAAAGUAUAUACCCAUGUGUCAACUUCUACAUCACAUCCGACUUCAUGAACGACAAAUAAGACACAUUGCAUGUUUAUGUAUUUUUUUUGGAGACAGUCGUUUUUCAAUUUCACCAUCAGUAUAGACUUCCAUUUUCGGUUCAGCUGUGAUUAAAGGUAUCACGACUAAUCUGAGGAGAGUUAAACAUCACAGCAGUCAGAGGAAUUGCUCCUUUAGCCCCUUUGCAGUCCCUGAAGAGCUCAGAUCAACACCUCUCGUUGGCCUAAUUCGCCUUCUCCUGCAUGCUUCCCCCCCUUUCUCUUUUAUGCAGCUCUGAGGGAGAGAGACUCUGAUGUCUGAGUGAGGAUAAUACUGUCAUUAGAGGGAGAGUACCAAGAAAAAAUGGGAGAGGGGAUGGGGACAGAGAGUGGGAUGGUAGGGAGGGAUAAAGCAUGGAGGGGGAGAGCGGGAUCAAGAGAAGUCAUUCACAAAAGACUAGGUGAUAGAAAAAAGUUUGUUUUUAAUAUUUAAGUUUGAAGCAAAAACACACUAAUGUCUGCAGUGCCUUAAAGUGUUGUCACUAAGCACCUUUGUCCCUCACAAUAAUAUACUAAUAUGUUGAACAAGUGUUCGUUAUGUCUAUGACCACCUUUGUUUUAGCAUGUUGGGAGAGCAAGGACACGGUCAAAGAACUGACGUGUCUUACGUGGAUAAGAUGUUCCCAGUACCCUGGCUGUAGAGACUCAACAAGAUGGUCAAGGUUUCUGUUGUCGCACCGAUAUCUAAACUUAGGUAUAAGAACUGCCUCGAUGUGUUGGGGCAGAAAGGAGGUUCUUGACAGUCUACUGACCACGUAGCUGUUGUGACCCUCUUUCCCUUGCAAGGAAAUAAACGGAGAAAAGACAUACUUGACUCAGAGCCUUUGUUUCUUACUUAACGAUUGUCUGUGCAAAAUCUUCCACCACAAUCACCAGUUUUCAACAGAAGACCAUGACGCCGUCUUUCAGACAGCAGGAAUUCUGUUUCCCAGUUGUGUGAAUGUGGUGAUAUCCACUGCUAUGCUAAGAUCUGCUUUGCUUUCAGUCUUUUCUUUGUUUUAAUAUGUACAAACCAAUACACCCUUUCCUCCACACAUAAUGUAGAUUUUUCUGCAGGCAGACUUUUACUAUGCAAGGUACACAAACACGGCCUGCUAGCAACACCUUCGCCAUUAUGUAGCCACACUUGGCCUUUCGCUAGCUUACAGCUAGCCCCCUUUGUCUCUGAGUUUCCUCUUUUUGGUGCUCCCUAGCUGUAAUCCCCCUGUCAACAGACGCUCCAAUGGUAGAAGCCAUUAGCAGUCUCGCUGUGCGCCGUGUAGGAGUGUUUAUUUUUGUGUGUGCUUUCCAGAGAUUUGAAGGUCGGGGUACUGAGAGGCAAACAUCAUUGGACAUGUCACUCAAGAAAGCGACACAGAGAGAGAGCGGGACGUGGCUGAGCGACAGAGGACGGGAGGCAACGUUAGGAAAACGGUGAUGAGAGACAUGAAACAGUACGGACACUGAAUAAAUGGACCACCAGCGAGUGCAGUGAAGACAGGCUUUAUGAAAAAGGACCCCCCCCCCACAACACAAGGCAAACCCAAAGACUCUUAACCCAGAUUCACACUGUCUGAGUGUGUGUUUGCUUCCUCUUGGAUAACCAAAGGCAGUCAAGGAGCUUUCUAGUGUUAGCAAACACCGACAAACAUGUUUUUUUAAGCAUCAACAUGUCAAAUAAACCCGGGAUCAAUUUGGACAGGGCCGGAGUUGUAAAAUCAUGUUACAACUUCUUAAUAUUUAGAUGACAUCCGUUUUCAUCACCUUUAAAAUGCUUAUUUUUGGUCACAAUGAUUACUCAACUCUUCUUUAGUUGAAACAAAUAGUCAACAGUAUUGAUUUAAAAAUCAAACUUUAUAUCAGAAAUAUUUGCUAUGAGGUCAUCCUUUUUUCCUAUGCGAAUUACGCUUUGUUUAACUCAAUGACAAUGUGCAAAGAUAACAUUCAAAUAGGGAAAAGAUUCUAUCUGACAUCCAUCAGUUGUCAUGAAAGUGAGUGGGACGUCUCGAUGUGCUACUAAAUCUGGCAAAAUUGUACCACUGUCCCGGGAGCAGAUGUCUACUUGCCUUAACAAAGACUCCUUGUGUGUGUGAGACACACAUGCAAAAGAUGUGAUGAAGAUUACGUUGUCACUGUGUCAUCCGUUCACAUAAACACGAGAGCCUGAGAAUAACAAUAAGUCAUGAAAUAGCAGUUAUUUCAUCGCUUACUCAUAGAGGAUUUCAUAAUUAUGCAAAAUGUGAAAGAAUUGUUCCGUUAAACUACAGUGUGAAUAAUAACCAUGACACACAGAAAAGACUGAGGGAAAGAAACAAACUUCCAGUUAUUAUUUACUUGACUUCGCUUGUGUCGGUCAGUAGAGUUGAGGAAAACUAUAACAAUCACAAUAAAGUACAGCAAUAACUCAUGCUCGUAUUUAGGUCUUGAGUAAAGAAAGAUCGAACGAGUAGCCUUUCAACAAUUAAGCUUAAAAUGAGAAUUCUGCUUUAAUGAAAUAUGUCUCUUCUGCUGACUUUUAGCUCCAGGGACAGUGCACACACACACAGACUCACAGUAUACACACACACACACACACACAUCAACAGAGAGUAACUGAGAGUAACCUGAUAGGUAAUGAUGACGCACAAGCGGGUCAAGGUUAGUAUACCAAUCUAGGCAUUUAUUUGAUAAAAUGUGGUUGCCAGGAUGUCAUUAUUCUUUCCAUGCACACAAGACACAAUGACUCGGGCCAAAACAAUGUUCUCUUAUUGUGUCCUGACGUCUGCCAAGUGUUUAUUUGGAGCCAAUCGUAUCGGAGAGAUGGCUGGAAUGCUUGCUGCAGAUAUUUCUGGGCCAAAAAGCAACACUACAAAGACCUGCAGGGCAGAGUCUGGGUAAAGGGUCCAACAAGAAUGAGUCUGCAGUAGCUGUGUACCACGUGGAAGGACGCUGUCAUGACACCCUGCGAUACCCACCUACAGUGCAUCUGGAAAGUAUUCACUGCGCUUUUCCACAUUUUGUUAUGUUACAGCCUUAUUCCAAAAUCGAUCAAAUUCAUUAUUUUCCUCAACAUUCUACACACCCACAACAACAAAGUGAAAACUGUUUUUUCAAACUUGCUCUCUGAAGAACAUGUAAUGGGAAAAUUAUAUGUAACCCUUUUAAAUGCUUCAUUUGUAUAACCAGUUUAUUAGUUGCAAGUGGUUAGAUCACAAAGGCCCUGACAUAAGAACUGAUGUCUCCCACUUGGAUUAGAUGUUUCCAGCGUCAUAGCUGUAGAGAUUGAACAAAGUGUUCGUUAUGUCUAUGACCACCUUUGUUUUAGCAUGUUGGGAGAGCAAGGACACGGUCAAAGAACUGACGUGUCUUACGUGGACAAGAUGUUCCCAGUACCCUGGCUGUAGAGACUCAACAAGAUGGUCAAGGUUUCUGUUGUCGCACCGAUAUCUAUGUCCAGUCAACUGAAUUUAGCACAGGUGGACUCCAAUCAAGUUGUAGAAACAUCUGAAGGAUGAUCAGUGGAAACACACACACAUAUAUAUACAUGUAUAUGUAUGUAUAUAUAUAUAUACAUGUAUAUGUAUGUGUAUGUAUAAUUGUUAAUUAUGUAGCUGAUAUUAAAAACUAUGACCAGAGCAAAAUAUAUAAUUUAACCUCAUUCCUACACCCCCAAAAAGUCUGGAUGUCAACAACCCGAUAAGGAACCUAACAGGUGCAUUGUGGAAAAACAGACUAACACAAAACAGGAGUGUGAGACACUGACGGCAGCAUGGAAAACCUCUGGGGAACCGUGUGUGAUGAAAAGCACAAAGUGAGCGCUGGCAGAGGGAGAAGGAAGUGACAGCAGACAUUGGGAAAAAAAAAAAAAUAUAUAUAUAUAUAUAAGCAGUGGGAGAGAGAAAGACAGAUGAACGGAGAGAAAUUGUCAAAGACCAAGUCAGCCAGUCAGACACUUAUGGCGGGUGGGAAAGGUAAAAAAACAUGUAUGAACAAAGAGUGAGAAAAAGAGAGAAUCAAUUUGUCAUCGCCAGCUGCCACAAACACAGACUGAUUACACCUGCCUACUAAGCCUGUGGUGUGUGUUUGAGCGUGUGUAUUGAUUAGCCUCAACCCUUUGACUGCUACAGCGUGGGGUGUCCGUGACUCACCCAAUCGCUGCUGAGAUGGACCCUGCUCACUUCCUGUUCUUGAGACCAACACGCCGCUAUCAGCAGUGUUCACCCCUGGCUAACUGAAGCAUCACACUAUGUCAGCGUGCAAGUACGCAGAAACACGCAUGCAGACUGGAACAGACAAACGUAACCAUAUCUUUCCACAACAACAAAUGUGGUGAUUGUUUUUUUUUUUUACUCAUCCACAGCGAAACAGUUUUCCACAGGUUGAGGGUCGACUGGAGCGGUUUUAAACAUCUCAUUUGGUUUUGUCUACUUCGUCAAUAGUGAUUUAAGGGCAUCUAAUCGGAAAAUCAGCAACACCAACUGCUCAUUUUAAAAGAACCAAAUCCCAACAUUUGCAUCACACUAGUGGAUGGCUUCCCUUCCCAUAGGCACGAAUACACACGUAUAGCAUUUUACAGAGAGAUCUGUUAUAUAUUUGGACUACUUCGAGUCAUUUAAUACCCCCUUUGGACAAGAGACAUUUUGUCCGAAGAGGGUAUUAUUACAAAAGAAUGUGCUUGACACAGACCAAAACACACAUGCACACAAAUAUUAAAAUCCCUAGUUGUUAUAUUUUGACUGUAUAUAAUGUAUAUGCAUUUGUGCAAUUACUUGUCAAUGUUCAUAGUCAGAAUUGGUUCCUAGUUGCCCAUUUAAGUGUGUGUUUGUCCUGAGAAAAUGGGUUAAAACCGGGAUUCAAUUAAAAGUAAACAAAGAAGAAAAUCCUCUUUUCUACCCUUCGUGCUCUGUUUAGCCUGUUAUAAAUUCACUUUUUAAUCAACUGUGUAUGUGUUAUUAACUUUGGGUCCUGUUUUAUUGUCCAGAGGUUUGUUUGUUUCAUAGUUUUCAUUUUUCUAUGGUUAAAAGCAAGCCUACUGCAGCAGUGUUAAGCUCUGUUUAAAAUCGCAUGAUUGAAAUACAUUCAACAAGUGAUCAUUGAAUCACCACACUAAAAACCAUAGGUGAAACCUACACGUAGAUUCAGUAAGAUUUGUUAACACUUUGACAUGUUAAAUGGAAAAUGCUUUUGGGAUGCACCUGAAUCCUUGGUUGAAGCACUUUAAUAUCUGAGGCUGUAAUUGGAAGCAAUCCUUCUUUGCAGAACCUCUGAGGUUCCAUCAGGUUGGAUGGGGAGUGUAGGUGCACAGGCAUUUUCAUAUCUCUCCAGAAGCAGGUUCAAGUCGGGGCUAUGGGCGGGCUACUCAAGGACAUUCACAGAGUUAUCCCAGAGCAAAGUCAUCGGGUCACUCUGACAGAGCAUCAGCGUUCCCUGACAAAAGCCCUUCUCUCUCAAUCGCUUAGUUUGGCUGGGCGGGUUCUGGUGUUUCCAAACUUCUUCAAUUUUCGGAUGAUGGAGACCACUGUGCUCAUUGGGAACUUCAAUGCUGCAGAAAUUCCUCUUUACCCAUCGGCAGAUCUGUGCUUCUAUACAAGUAUGUCUCAGGCCUACAGACAAUUCCCUGGACUUCAUGGCUUGGUUUGUGCUCUGACAUGCACGGUCAACUGUGGAACCUGCUACAGACAGGUGCUUUUCUAAUUCAUGUCCAAUCAGCUGAACAAAGAUGAUCAGUGGAAGCAGGAUGGGAAGGAAGAAAUUUUCAAAAAUAUUUCACUUUGUUCUUAUGGUGUGUUGUGUGUGGAGUUUUGAGGGAUAAAAUGAAUUUAAUCCAUUAUGGAAUAAGGCUGUAACUUAACAAAAUGUGGAAAAAGUGAAGCGCUGUGAAUGGAACUGCCAGCUUUCACAUAUCCCCAUAUAGGAUUACAAUUUUCUGGCUAAAAUGAGAACGUUUUUUCUCUUUGGGGGGUUUAGUGAAACACCUUGUAGUGUACCUCUUCUGUUGAACACCUGGAACAGAUUGAGCUCCCUCUCUAUUGUGAUAGCCUGCUGGCCUGAGGUCAGUCUGGUUUGACACCACAGAAAAGAGGCAACACUGAGCCUACAGCUGGAUAUUGCAAAUAACCAGCUGCUUUGAGAUGCUGUGUUCCGAGUGAGAUUUUCUUUAAGAACUGGCUUCCUCUAGGCACCUUAAAUGAGAUUCGCAGUAUGUUGCUUAUUUUUGUCACUGUCAUAUGGAAAUAAUGGCAGGCCAAGAGGGUAGACCCUUAAAUACGACAAUACCACAAUAAAUACAUUGGCCAUCUGUUCAUAAUAGCAGGAUUUCGCUGCAUGCUAACAAUAACCAUUCUAACAUGUUGAUGUUUAGCUGAUAAAUAGUUUAUGACGUUGGGCAGUUUGUUUGAAUGCUAACAUUCUUAACAUCCAAACUUUUGAGAUCUCAGAGAGCAGGAGGGUCAGCAGCUAUACCUCAGGAGGUGGCUGGCGUUACCAAAGAGCUUGAGCAGCACUGAAAUUAAUUAUCCUUGGAGGAGAGUUGAAGGUAACAAGAGGUAGAUGAGUAUUACCGUAUAGGUACUAUUUAUGGGAAGGUGGCAAAAAAGGAUCCAAGUGAAGAUUGGUAGGAGGUGCAACCCACGAGGCAGUCAUUGCAAGUUCGAGUGUUGGAGGUAAGUUAAAUGAGUUGAAAAAGUCUAAUCUGAAACAUUAGAAAAGAGACUACGAUCACAUAUUUUAGGUGCUUUUCUAAGUAUCCAAUAUUCCCACAAUCUCUCCUAGAAUAAUGUUCAACAAAAAAACAAUGAGGCCAAGGAGGUCCCAAAACCAUCUCAACCAGUUCCAGUUAUGCAGUGCAGUGGUUAACAUCAGGGUCAGUGUUUGUUCGUUGCUUGUCCGUUUGAAAUGUCUGAUGCUCGACAAGAGCAAAAGAAGAUAUUAAAUAUCCUUUAAUUUAUAUACAUCAUGAAGAGCGGCCACACCAUUUCCAUCCUAUGUUGUCCUUAAACAGAUAAUCUAGUGCCUGUAGAUCUUUUUUGUGCUCUUGAGCAAAGCCCUUAACUCCUUAUAUUUCUUGUCAAAGGACAUUAAACAAACAAACUGAGGUGCAACCCGUAUUCUUAUUAUCCAUUCACUAUGUUUCCAAGAUAAGGUGUUAAAUUAGUUUGCACAUUGGGUUUUACCUUGAGGCUA